Molecule: long non-coding RNA, 3581 nt
Filed under: Pan troglodytes (chimpanzee)
Lineage: Eukaryota; Metazoa; Chordata; Mammalia; Primates; Hominidae
Description: lincRNA
Source: RNAcentral
UUCCGCGCUUCUGUUUCCCUGGAGGAGGGAAAGAAGUUGAGAAAAUUCAGAGCCAAAUGUAGAUUUUCUCAAGUGCCUCAUUCCACACAGCGAUCUUGCUGGUAACCGGGAGUGCGUUUCUUCUGCAUCCAAUGUUCAAAUGCUGUCGUCCAAAAUGUUUCUGACCGUGGCAGGAAUUUCAAACGAAAUCCUAGGAGCUAGAUGAAGAGUUACAGACAAUCGCGAAUUUCCAGGCAACACGCCAGGGAUUUGGGGAAGAGAACAGUAAAACGUAACAGAAAUAGCAGCUUCCUGACACGGCGGAAGUCAUCUGGUGAAGAUUUUUUAUACAUUUUAUAUCGACUUUUUAAUCUCCUAAUUUAUUAGUAAAGUGUUGACCUAAGAAGUAAGAAUGCAUUUUGUAGCUCAUCAUUGUUUAAAUAGAGGCUUUGAAAUUCAGUCCCUCUUGGUGAUUGUAGCCGCCAUUAGAAAGUGGCUGCGGGAGGGGUCUGGCCUCUGCUCAGCCACUCACUGCUGUGUGAUCUUGGGCAGAGCACUUGAUGUCUCUGAGCCCGUCUCCUGAAGCCCAAAGCCAGGCUGUAAUAUCUGUGUCGGCUGUUCCGUGAGGAAAGAUGCCUCAUCUCUAGCUCUUCCUCAAGGCUAUGAAUAUAAUCAAAGGCGGAUGCUCAGGGCUGUGAAUAAGAGUUCAGUGAGGCAGCGUUUUAUCCAGUGCAUUCCUCUUCCCAGGCAUCUGUGACAUCGUCUUACCGACCAGCUGCCCCACUCUGGGACAUUUCCAUCGCUUUGCAGUGGCCGCACUGACAGUCGACAGCUGCGCCAGGACUUAAGGCUCCAGCCUGGUCCCCUCCUUGCUUCCCAGCACUGCCUGGUCAAAUGGUGGAGGACAGAGUGGAGGCAGAAGACGGAGGCGCAGCCGACACGUGGACUAAGGGCUCUCCAGGCAUUCCGACUUCUGAAGAGGUGGCUGACAGCCUGAGCUCCAUGGAAAGGUUGGGAUAAAGAGCCUGUGUGAUUGUCUACUCCAAAUUCAUGACUUUACAGAUGGGCUUCAGCCAAUGGUUUGGGUCCCAAGCUGUUGUUAUUAUUAUUAUUAUUAUCAUUAUCAUUUAAGACAGUCUCGCUCUGUCACCCAGGCUGGAGUGCAGUGGUGCGAUCUUGGCUCACUGCAGCCUCCGCCUCCCGGGUUCAAGUGAUUCUCCUGCCUCAGCCUCCUGAGUAGCUGGGAUUACAGGUGCCUGCCACCAGGCCCGGCUAAUUUUUUUUUAUUUUUAGUAGAAACGGGGUUUCACCAUGUUGGCUAGGCUGGUCUCAAACUCCUGACCUUAAGUGAUCUGCCCGCCUCGGCCUUCCAAAGUGCUGGGAUUACAGGCAUAAGCCACCGUGCCCGGCCCCAAGCUGCUUUUAGAAUGGCUUUUACUUUCUUAUAUGUAAUAGUGAAGAAUUUAAAAAUGUAAAGACAAGCCAGAUGUCAUGUUUGAAGAGGGAAAUUAAUCCCAUAAAGAGCAGCACAUCCAUGUGAUGGGGUAUUAGGAGGCCCUUAAUAGCCAAGGGUUAGCCUUUUUGAUGACAUAGAAAAAUAUGAGAUAUGAUAUUGAGUGAAAAGGGAGGUUAUAAAAUAUCAUGUGUAGUGCAAUCACAAGUGUAUGCACACACGCGGUGGAGAGAGACUGGGCGGACAGCACUAACCCAUUACCAGGGCUGUCUCCUGACUUUUAUCCUUUAGGUAUUUUUUGUGGUUUCCAAAUUUUUCAAUGCACAUUUAUUAGGAGCAGGAAAAAACUUAUUUUUGCCAAUGAAAUAAAAAUAAAUUUGGGCCAGGCAUGGUAGCUCACUUCUGUAAUUACAGCACUUUGGGAGUCUGAGGUGGGUGGGUUGCUUGAGCCCAGGAGUUCAAGACCAGUCUAGGCAACAUGUCAAGACCUCAUCUCUACAAAAAAUUAAAACAUGCGCUGGGUAUGGUGGCAUAUGCCUGUAGUCCCAGCUACUCAGGAGGCUGAGGUGGGAGGAUUACUCGAGUCUGGGAGGUCAAUGCUGCAGUGAGCUGUGAUGACACCAGUGCACUCCAGCCUGGAUGACAGAGUGAGACCCUGUCUCAACAACAAAACAAUCAAGUGUGUUGGUGAAUAUUUGAAGAUAGUUUCUCAAACUAAAAGAUACCCAAAGAAAACCUUGGAAAUAUAAAAAUAAUGCAUGAAUUGAAAACAAAAAGCCAUAAUACAAGACUCUAAAGAUCUGGAAUGAAACCUAAUAAGAGACUGGUAGGUCAAAUGAGAGCAAAGCAUUUGAAUUUGACUGGAUUGUUUUCUCACUGGAAAUAGUGAUUCUAUGAGUUCAUCAUUAACACAUUUUUUGACUGGAAAACUGCUAUAGGACCCCAGGGAGGACUACAUUUGAACAGAGGAAGUGGGCAGUGUUAAGUCUCUGUUCUAGCUCUUGGUUCUAGAAUAGGAGAGUUAAGAGCACCAAUUUGGGAUGAAGAAAGCAGAAAGCAAUUAUCGAUAUCAAUCAAGAGAGCAGAACAGCCUCUCUCCCUCCAUCCUCCCUCUGCCCUCUUCUCCCUUCCUCCUUCUCUGCUUUCCUUUCACUCUGUGUAUGUUAGCUUUGGCCCCAUUCCAUAAGCCGAGAUAAAAAUGCUAGGCAUGAUAAAUUUGUGACUGUUACUAACAUUUAGGAUUUUUUUUUUUGAGAUGGAGUUUCACUCAUGUUGCCCAGGCUGGGUGCCAUGGUGCGAUCUCGGCUCACUGCAACCUCUGCCUUCCGGGUUCAAGCAAUUCUCCUGCCACAGCCUCGCAAGUAACUGGGACUACAGGCGCAUGCCACCAUGCCCGGCUAAUUUCUUUUGUAUUUUUAGUAGAGACAAGGUUUCACCGUGUUGGCCAGGAUGGUCUCGAUCUCCUGACCUUGUGAUCUGCCCACCUCAGUCUCCCAAAGCACUGGGAUUACAGGCGUGAGCCACCACACCUAGCACAUUUAGGAUCGUUAUAUGGAAUUCUUCAUAUCUUCUAAGUUUUAAAAAAACAAAAUCUACCAAAUAUUAGAGAUUUAGUAGUUAAAUAAAAUCAUUAGGAAAGAGCAAAGACUUGCCCAGUUUUAGGUGGAGUAAAUUCUGGAACUUUUAAUACAAAGAUAGGCUGGGAAACUGCAAAGAUAACUUCGUGGUUCUUCUUGUAUGCAAAUCUGUGAUCAUGGAUGGAGAAGCCUGGAGGAGAAUCGGAAGGCAAGGUCAAACUUUAUCGGAUGCGAUCCAUUUGGUUCUUUCAAUAAGAAUCCAAAAUUGAUAAAAUACUACAGUUUGUGUCUCUUAGCUGAGAAUGCAGGCGCGAGGAAGUAAAAUGAUUUCUUCUCAUCAGUAGUAGAGCCACCCAACCCCAGUCUUCGGCCUCAAGCUCUUUCUGUGCUUUAUUAAAUCAGCUGCUUUUUAACAGAAAACCGACUUUGCACACCAGACUAUAAUGCAGGUCUUGCUUUGGGAAUAUUUACAUGGUAAUCUUAUAGUCACAUUAUACACUAAAUAAAUGUUAGCUGGGCCAUUGUGUAGAAAUAUAAUUUGUGCAAAAUAAAACCGUUAAUGUGUAAAACAC